UACGAAGGGGGCUAGCGUUGCUCGGAAUUACUGGGCGUAAAGCGUGCGCAGGCGGCUUCGCAAGUCAGACGUGAAAUCCCCGGGCUUAACCUGGGAAUGGCGUUUGAAACUACGGAGCUGGAGUAUGGCAGAGGGGGGUGGAAUUCCACGUGUAGCGGUGAAAUGCGUAGAUAUGUGGAGGAACACCGAUGGCGAAGGCAGCCCCCUGGGCCAAUACUGACGCUCAUGCACGAAAGCGUGGGGAGCAAACAGG
RNAcentral lists this ribosomal RNA (253 nucleotides) under uncultured bacterium. RNAcentral's name for it is "partial 16S ribosomal RNA". It matches the Rfam family "Bacterial small subunit ribosomal RNA", at positions 524 to 776 of the family's 1533-position model. The record is from RNAcentral.